Molecule: unclassified non-coding RNA, 275 nt
Filed under: Hevea brasiliensis (rubber tree)
Lineage: Eukaryota; Viridiplantae; Streptophyta; Magnoliopsida; Malpighiales; Euphorbiaceae
Source: RNAcentral
GCCACAAUUCUUCCCAUAUUUUUUUGUUCCUCAUUUUCAGCUCUUCUAUCUGAUAGCCCACUUGGACGGCAGUCCCUAUGGAGGGGCCUGUCAACCAUGGACUGCAAGAAAAGGAAGAACCUCUGAAAGAAAGACUUCAGCAGCUCCACUAACAUCUUUGGGGUGCUCAAUAGCAACAGCCUUUAGAAUGCGCGAGUCAACCUAUGCACAUUGGAACCAAAAGAGAUGGCUUUGCUCAGAAAUAAGAACUGUGGAAACAGCUCCAUCAAGGUUCG